RNAcentral lists this ribosomal RNA (1733 nucleotides) under Triticum aestivum (bread wheat). RNAcentral describes it as "partial small subunit ribosomal RNA". Lineage: Eukaryota; Viridiplantae; Streptophyta; Magnoliopsida; Poales; Poaceae. The record is from RNAcentral.
UCAACAAACUAAACAAGGAGAAACACCCCGGCGUCCCCCACCUCCCGACCUCCACCAACCCCCGCCGCCGCCCCAAUCCCCUAGCAUCCACCAGCCCUGUGCGCUGCGGCGCCGCCCUCGCUUCCUUCCGGCGCCCCGUCGGCCCACCUCCUCGGCCGCGCCGCGGAUCGGCCCCCUCCGCCGCGUCGCGGAUCCGCCCCCUCCUGGCAGAUCCCUCCCGCACGGCGAGCUAGAAGUUCGGAGCGCCACCACCGCUCCCUUCUCCAGCGACCCCUCCCGCACGGCGAGCUGGAUGCAGUUGAUCCCCGGGGCUUGGGCAGUUCAGCCCAUCCGGCGAGCACGGCCGUCUCCUGCCACCCCCAAUAGAUGCGACCCAGCGGGUCCGAUGGAUGCUCACACCGGGAGGCGGUGCUGCUCCGGCAAGCUCCUUCUUCCUCGAGCACAUUCGUCUCCAGCUGCCUUCGAACAGCCGCGACCCACCGAAUCCGACGGAUGCUCACGCGUCCUUGAGUGCGGCACGUCGACAACAACCUCCUUGUUCUCGUUCCCUCCUCCAUCCCCGAGCACAACUUCGACGAGCCUGUCGACAGGUUAGUCCUACUAACUGUUGUUCACCAUGAACUGGCUAUAGAGCAUUCGUGGCAGGUCGAGUAAAAUUCUCAUGGCCGUUCAAGUAAAACUGGAAGCGAGAGAAUUGAAAAUCUGACAGUAAGAAAGUUUUCGGAGAACGUUUUUAUGUUUGCUGGAAUCGCCUAGGUGAACUAACAUUGUUUACUUUGUGAAAAGUCUGAACGUGGUGUUUGGAUGAGAACUGGAGUUCAGGUUGUUGACUAGCUGAAGAUCCAACAGCCAUCUUUCUUAUUGGCAGUGGCCGCGAUAGUGGGCAUGGUGGUGGCCUUCGUGCAGCCGCCGAUGCGGUCAAAACAUUCAAUGCCUGUAGAGGCCCUGUAGGUCUCUCCAUUCAAUGCCUCUUGUGAAGUGACUUCACAAAUUUUAUCUUGUAUAAAGUGAUUCUGAACCUGUGAAACUGGUGAUCACAUAUCUAUAUCCCCCAAGCAGCAAUGCGGUGCGGGUGCUCAAUUUGGCUACAAAUUUUGCUAUAAUUUCUGAAGUGUUUCUGUGUUGUUGCUAUGAGGUGAAUUGUGGCUGUUUCGACGUUGACUACAGUUAACUUAUAGUGGAAUACACUUUGUUUGUAGCAUAUGCGUUCCAUUGAGAAAGCAAAAGCGUUGGGUUCAGUCUGAAAAAGUACGGCAAUUCAUUCACAUAUAUUGUGUUACCUCUGAACCAGAGAGUAAAUCACACAAAUGUAGCUCCUUUACUCUACAGGUUUGUCAUACAUUCGACGUUGGUGGCUUUUGUGCUAUUCUGCUCAAGAAAAAUGAUCUUUGGGGAACUUUGCUAGUAGUAGACACAAAGUGUGCUUUUAAAUACCUACAGAGCAUCAUAUCAUCUAUAUUUGUUUUGAAAUGCUAUGCAUAUCCAUUCUGGCCGCAAAAAUAUGCAUGGUUGACUGGCAGAAGUUCACUACGAGUUGUCAUAUUAUUCUUCAGAGUUCAGAUAAUUGUAUUUUGGGCCGCUGGAACCUGAUGGCUCAAGCUUGUAAAAGGAUAUUCAGAAGUUCGAAAAUAAAAAAUAGUGUCAUGUGUUGCUGCGUCCGUGCUAGGUCUUGUGUCUCGUGUGUGUCCGCACUCACUAUGUGGGUGCUUCGUGUGUUCGUGUGCGUGUCGUGC